UUAACUAUUGAUGAUACUGAAGACGUUUGUUAAAGCAACUGGAGCAGCAGAAGGGAGAAUGUGGCAAGAAAACUAAUAAUAUUCUGAAGAAGAUACAGCUCUACUAUUCAACUUGCAGAUAUUCCAUACUUGGUGUAUGGGAAUUGCUAAGUCAUGGCCUGAACCAGUGAUUGAGCACCUGGUGAAGGAACACAGCCAGCCGUAGGAGCACAGAUGAAAGCAGUUCACCUGUGCAACCAGAAGAAGUGAAACCAAGUUCUUCCCCUCCCUAAAGAUGAGCUGAGACAAAGAUGUUGCUUUCAGAAGACUGACUACAGAGCCUCCUGAGAUCCCUUCCAAAGGGAAUUGCCCUUCUGAGUAGUCUCAUAGGAUUAAGAUGGACAGUAUUUGAAGAUCAGAUUUCAUGGAAGACUUCACAAAUAGUUCU
Phasianus colchicus (ring-necked pheasant) is the source of this 427-nucleotide non-coding RNA. Lineage: Eukaryota; Metazoa; Chordata; Aves; Galliformes; Phasianidae. The record is from RefSeq and is a predicted model, not a curated record.